This 537-nucleotide long non-coding RNA is filed under the name Anas platyrhynchos platyrhynchos (common mallard). RNAcentral describes it as "lncRNA (ENSAPLG00000030974.1)". The record is from RNAcentral. Lineage: Eukaryota; Metazoa; Chordata; Aves; Anseriformes; Anatidae.
GCAGAGUCAGGCUCUGGACUUCAGAAAAUCAGAUUUCUGUUUGUUUAGGCAAUUUCUUUGACCAAAUUUCAGUUUCUGAGGCAGAACUCCCUCUGGAAGCUUCCAUGAGGAGAAAAAGUGCAUAAGCAAGAUGGUUGAUCUUUAAAAAAAACUUACAGAGAGUUCAGAAACAAACUUUCUUCCAUUUGUACAUAAAAAUGAAAAUUUUUGGCAGAACGGUUGCUUGGCUAGGCAGGGAGCCCCUGGAUGAACUGAAACACAAGAACACACAAGAAGUAGAAACCAGGCAACAAAGAAGCAACACAAACAGAACUUCUUGAGCAUUUGGAGGAAAAUCAGAAAGACCCGGGCAACGAAGAAGCAACACAAACAGAACUUCUUGAACAUUUGGAGGAAAAUCAGAAAGACCAAGGCUCAGCUGUAGAUAAAAGUAGCGAGGAACAUAAGGGAACAAGAGUAUUUAUACAUGAAGAAAAAUACCUGCUAUUCAUUGAAUCACUCAGGAAACAGGAAAUAAAACAAUGGCUCAGUGAUUAG